UGGGAUAUUGAUGGUCGCAUCAUGGAAGGAUUGACAAUCCAAAUAGAGUUCUCUCGGACCCUUAACGUCCAAGUUGGCAAGGUUGUUGACCUCCAAAAUGUUUUCCCCAGGCUCCUGGUACAUAUAUGCUUAAUGGUCCUGAUCUUCAGGGGUACUAUAUAAAUUCACGAACCCUCAGCAGCCCCUAAGACAGCAGUAACUUGCUCAUCGGUGACGUACGGCCCCCAUCUAGAAAUCGGAGGCGGGCACGGGAUCAUUAUUUCCUAGAUUGCGGACAAUUUUUGGUUGACACUUAUUGUUAGCUUGAAUAUUCGCACGGCUUCGGCUUGCUCCUAGUCCUGGGUCGCCGUCAUAUCAUCCCGUUGGCAUCAUAAUUUUCAACGACACUGGCAGCACUACUCUAACAGUAUUGACACGGAUCUGAUUGCAUUAGACGUCUGUGCAGAUUAUUAGCGAUGAUAUAUCUACCAAUGAUAUAUCGAUGUGGAUAUGGCCCGCUGGUUUCAAGAGCCACCGUAAGUGGAAUCAUCUAGCGACGUCGGAUCACACUUAAAAUACAAUUUGUUAACUCUUCAAUGGCUUCCUUGUCUGGUGAAUUCUUUUAUGAUUUCUCCCGAAAUUGAGACUGAACAUACUGUACACUGUAUAUUAUAUAAUUUACCCUUUUCUCUCUGAAUUCUUAAUACCGUAGUUUGCAGCGUUUUAUGCAUGAAUAUACCUCUCUACCACCUCUUUUCUUCUUCUUUUCUUUUCCUUUUUUUACGGCUACCACAAGCUGCGUUCUCCUGUAUUGUCCCACGCUGUAGCCUGACGACAGUAUACCGAACCCUGCAGAACCUGGACAUAUCGGUUGUUCAGCCCUUUGGUAUUUAGAGCUCAUGCAGCAGCGUUGAAGAUAAUAGUAAUUAACCCAGAGCCUUUUCGGUGCCUUUAUAGUUCUCUAGUUAUUAGCUACAUAUGCUGGGGUCCCGGACAGGUGCAUUAGCAUAGACGAAACGAUGCAAAAGUGAGUGCGUCAGGUUCAACAUCAAUGCUCAGUGUCCGAGCAAAACCCGAGGCUUAUUCCACAGAGGCGGUCUGGAUGAGUGAGGUGGUGGGAGGUGCAACGGGGCCACUGGAUGGAACAGGCCAAGCAUGGUCAGGGAUGUAAGUUGAAUUUUGCGUGUCAAGCAAACAUAAUGAUGUCCGGGCUGCGCUAGGAACAUGUUUCUGACUAGUGGGGAGGUAUUUUGUCUGAGAUUAUUUCGGGAGCAAGGACAUUUUAAAAUUUGUAACA
This 1276-nucleotide small RNA is filed under the name Histoplasma ohiense. RNAcentral's name for it is "hypothetical lncRNA". The record is from RNAcentral. Lineage: Eukaryota; Fungi; Ascomycota; Eurotiomycetes; Onygenales; Ajellomycetaceae.